GAAAGUAACAAUGAUAUCAAGGUGACAUCUUGUUCACUAGGACUGAUUUGGUGAAUUUUGUUAUCUAGGCAGAUGUCUCUUCUCUCACCACUCCAUGUGUGGCCGUGGCCCUCCCGUAGCAUGUCCUGUCGAAGGCCCUGUCCCUUCCAGACAGAGGAAGAGCAUUUCUCAGUUCAAACAUACGAGCAGCUGAGCUCCCCCGCCAGAACCUCCAAACAUGCUCUCAACAAGUUCUGUGAUGCCAGGAGAGUCGGGGAUACAUAAUGAGAUCUUGUCU
RNAcentral lists this small RNA (277 nucleotides) under Mus pahari (shrew mouse). RNAcentral describes it as "sRNA (MGP_PahariEiJ_G0007967.1)". The record is from RNAcentral. Lineage: Eukaryota; Metazoa; Chordata; Mammalia; Rodentia; Muridae.